This 512-nucleotide ribosomal RNA is filed under the name uncultured bacterium. RNAcentral describes it as "bacterial SSU rRNA". It matches the Rfam family "Bacterial small subunit ribosomal RNA", at positions 27 to 518 of the family's 1533-position model. The record is from RNAcentral.
GGACGAACGCUGGCGGCGUACUUAACACAUGCAAGUCGAACGGAGGACUAUUCGGUAGAUCCUUAGUGGCGAACGGGUGAGUAACGCGUGGGCAAUCUGCCCUUCAGAUGGGGACAACAUCCCGAAAGGGGUGCUAAUACCGAAUACGAUCCUUCCACCGCAUGAGGGGGGAUGAAAGAUGGCCUCUAUAUAUAAGCUAUCGCUGAAGGAUGAGCCUGCGUCUGAUUAGCUUGUUGGUGGGGUAACGGCCUACCAAGGCGAUGAUCAGUAGCCGGUCUGAGAGGAUGAACGGCCACAUUGGGACUGAGACACGGCCCAAACUCCUACGGGAGGCAGCAGUGGGGAAUAUUCCGCAAUGGACGAAAGUCUGACGGAGCAACGCCGCGUGAAGUGAUGAAGGUUUUCGGACUGUAAAGCUCUGUUGUUUGGGACGAAAGUGCCUGUUGCGAACAGUUACGGGUAUUGACGGUACUAAACGAGGAAGCCACGGCUAACUACGUGCCAGCCGCCGC